This 478-nucleotide ribosomal RNA is filed under the name uncultured bacterium. RNAcentral's name for it is "partial 16S ribosomal RNA". It matches the Rfam family "Bacterial small subunit ribosomal RNA", at positions 28 to 523 of the family's 1533-position model. The record is from RNAcentral.
GACGAACGCUGGCGGCGUGCUUAACACAUGCAAGUCGAACGGUAAGGCCCUUCGGGGUACACGAGUGGCGAACGGGUGAGUAACACGUGGGUGAUCUGCCCUGCACUUCGGGAUAAGCCUGGGAAACUGGGUCUAAUACCGGAUAGGACCACUGCCUGCAUGGGUGGUGGUGGAAAGCUUUUGCGGUGUGGGAUGGGCCCGCGGCCUAUCAGCUUGUUGGUGGGGUGAUGGCCUACCAAGGCGACGACGGGUAGCCGGCCUGAGAGGGUGACCGGCCACACUGGGACUGGGAUACGGCCCAGACUCCUACGGGGGGCAGCAGUGGGGAAUAUUGCACAAUGGGCGCAUGCCUGGUGCAGCGACGCCGCGAGAGGGAUGACGGCCUUCGGGUUGUAAACCUCUUUCAGUAGGGACGAAGCGCAAGUGACGGUACCUACAGAAGAAGGACCGGCCAACUACGUGCCAGCCGCCGCCGUAA